UAGUUCAAUGAGGAAGCGCGGACACUUCUUUUAAAGAAAUACAAGACUAUCAUUCACCCAGGAGAGGAAAGCCUUCACAUUCCAUUGUCGAACAUUGGCAUGAGAGAGGGAUUUGACGCCUAUAGUGGAAAAGAAUUAGGAUAAACACCAGACAAUCAGCAUGGAAGAUGUGUUUAUGAACGACAUAUGGAGUGAACAUAAUGGCGAUAUUCGAGCCUUUCACUGAUUGCAAGAGCAAAGAUGGACUCACUGGCCACUGCGUCAUGACCGAAGAACUGAUUGAAGGAACAUUUCUUCAUGUGAACUGACCAGAUGCAAGGUACAAUGAACUGAAAGAAGAAGGGCAUUUUCAUCAAAGGAACAUUUAUUGGUUUGUCCGUUGACGGUUGCCUGAAGGAGGACCAAGACGGCGAGUUAAGAUGGGUUGCCUCUGAUUCGCCCUGUUGCGAUUGGGGUGCCUCUGAUUCGCCCUGUUGCGAUUGGGGUGCCUCGCCUCCUUGACACCCUCCUUGAGACUCAAUAUAAGGCAAGGUGAGCUGCCGUUGGUUCUUAGGUUGAGAAGGUUUGUAAAUGAUUGAAGUGUUGUGUGUUGGAUGAUUGUACAUUGUUUAACCCAGAAGAUUGUAGCCACCACCAGAUCCCCCCCUCCCCAUGUCCUCGUGCUCCUUUUGCCGCGUGCGUCUGCUGCUGCCGUUGGCUGCUGCGCCGCUGCUGGUUGCCUUGCCUGCAGCUGCUCUGCUGUUCUGCUAGGCGCUGCUACUGUUGUUUCCUGCUGCCGCUAGCUGCUGCUCAUCCUGUUGUUGCUGCUCCAUGCACUACUGGCCCGUCGCUGCUACUGCUGAGUGCUGGCCAUGGCCGAGCGGCUGUGUGUGUGUGCUCGCGCGCGCGUGUGCGUGCGUGCGUGCAUGUGUGUGUCAUGUAACACCCAUGUGCUGGAACAUUUCAUUCCCUUGUGAAAUUAAUCGUUUAUGUGUAUGAAACAAAAACGUUCAGUUUUAGUGUCCAGUUCACUGCCAAUUCUCUUCCUGCUUUUGUCGUGACUAUGCAAAUCAAUUAUCCUGUGGAUUGACUAUGCCUUGCUUACCUUGCAUUGGGUUUAUUUUGCUGUUUGUGAUAUAGUAAACUCAUCUAUGAUGGAUGGUUACUUUGAUUUUUUAGAUGUAAACAGUUUCUCAAACCUUGAUACUAACUUGACCAUUACCUGCUUAAUUACAACGUUUGGACUGGCACCAAGGCGCACAGUCGGCUCACCGCAAGUACACCUACGCCGCCGCCUCCCCGGGGGGCUGCAAGGUGAAGUGGACGGCCGAGGAGAAGCCGCACGGCGGGGCUGGGCUCUCAAGUGGCAGGCGGAGCUCGCCUCCCCCCAACGACGUUAGCUUUGAUCACAAGUGGAAGUGGGAGCCCAAGUCCAAGCCUGGUGCCGCCAGCAAGGCCAAGACCAAGCUCGAGGAAGCCAGCGAGGAUGACAAGAAUAAGCCGGCGAUGAAGUGCACGCACAUCGAGGAUGUCCUCGCCGGCUGCGACGCCAUCCGCAAGGAUGAUGACUAUCUAAUGGUGAUUCC
This is a long non-coding RNA of Triticum dicoccoides, 1565 nucleotides long. RefSeq lists it as uncharacterized. NCBI's taxonomy places the organism in Eukaryota, Viridiplantae, Streptophyta, Magnoliopsida, Poales, Poaceae. The record is from RefSeq and is a predicted model, not a curated record. The transcript is spliced from 5 exons.